This 775-nucleotide ribosomal RNA is filed under the name uncultured Neocallimastigales. RNAcentral describes it as "partial large subunit ribosomal RNA". It matches the Rfam family "Eukaryotic large subunit ribosomal RNA", at positions 23 to 644 of the family's 3401-position model. The record is from RNAcentral. Lineage: Eukaryota; Fungi; Neocallimastigomycota; Neocallimastigomycetes; Neocallimastigales.
AGAGAGAGACAUGCGCGCAUAUCAAUAAGCGGAGGAAAAGAAACUAACUAAGGAUUCCCUCAGUAACGGCGAGUGAAGCGGGAAGAGCUCAAAUUUGAAAUCUUGCAAGGGUUCUACCUUUACGAAUUGUAGUUUAAAGAAGUGUUUUCUGUUGGAGUUUUGGUAAAAGUUCUUUGGAAUAGGACAUCAUAGAGGGUGAGAAUCCCGUAUUUGACCAUUAUUUCCAGCUUUGUGAUACACUUUCAAAGAGUCGGAUUGUUUGGGAAUGCAGUCCAAAAUGGGUGGUAAAUUUCAUCUAAAGCUAAAUACUGGCGAGAGACCGAUAGCGAACAAGUACCGUGAGGGAAAGAUGAAAAGAACUUUGAAAAGAGAGUUAAACAGUACGUGAAAUUGUCAAAAGGGAAGCGUUUGACACCAGUGUUGUUUUCUCGAAAAUCAAUUAAAAAAGGCAGGAUUUGUGUUGUAUUGACUUUAUCAGCUUUCUGCACUCUUUUCUUGUUUUUUUAAUGCACUUUUCGUUUAACAAGUCAACAUCAAUUUCUUUUGUUGUAAAAGGGUCAUUGGAAGGUGGCUUUCUUUUCGGAGAAAGUGUUUAUAGCCUUUGGCCUCUGCAAUCGGAGAGAUUGAGGUCUGCAGCGUAGAUCCUUCGGGGUUAGAUACAUUUGUGCUAAGUUAUAGCCUUUCAUAGACAACUUGUUGACUAUGAUCAGUCAUGUAGCUUACUCGCUUAUGCUAUUUUACCUACGCUUAGGAUGUUGAUGUGAUACUGCGAGCA